GUCCACGCCCUAAACUAUGUGCACUAGGUAUUGGCAGUAUCGACCCUGUCAGUGCCGUUUAAAAAGCUAACGCGUUAAGUGCAUCGCCUGGGGAGUACGGCCGCAAGGCUAAAACUCAAAGGAAUAGACGGGGACCCCGCACAAGCGGUGGAGUAUGUGGUUUAAUUCGACGAUGAACGAGGAACCUUACCUGGGUUUGACAUUUAGCUGCAAGCCACUAGAAAUAGAGGCCGCCUUCGAGGGUGCUAAACAGGUGCUGCAUGGCUGCCGU
Molecule: ribosomal RNA, 271 nt
Filed under: uncultured bacterium
Lineage: Bacteria
Description: partial 16S ribosomal RNA
Rfam family: Bacterial small subunit ribosomal RNA
Source: RNAcentral